This 528-nucleotide ribosomal RNA is filed under the name Agobardus cordiformis. Its description in RNAcentral is "partial 16S ribosomal RNA". The stretch from base 139 to 433 matches the Rfam family "Bacterial large subunit ribosomal RNA", at positions 2074 to 2646 of the family's 2925-position model. The record is from RNAcentral. Lineage: Eukaryota; Metazoa; Arthropoda; Arachnida; Araneae; Salticidae.
AAUAGCCGCAACUCGUGCUAAGGUAGCAUAAUCAUUUGUCUUUUAAAUGAAGACUAGAACAAAAGAUUUAACAUUUCAAUUUAUUUAUUUAAUCUCUAAUUUUAAAUUAUUUUAAAUGUAAAAAAACAUUUAUAAAACAGAAAGACGACAAGACCCUAUUGAACUUUACUUAAGUUAAACUGGGGCAGUCAAUUAAUUAUAAUUUUAAUACUUCAAUAUAUCUAAAUAUCCAGUACAACUGAAUCAUUAAGUUACCAUAGGGAUAACAGCGCAAUUAUUUUUUAAAGUUCUUAUAUAAAAAAUAGAUUACGACCUCGAUGUUGAAUUAAUUACCUAUUUUAAGCAAAUUUUUAAAAAGGAAGUCUGUUCGACUUUUAAAUUAUUACAUGAUUUGAGUUCAGACCGGUGUAAGCCAGGUCGGUUUCUAUCUUCUAUAAAGUUUCUUACAGUACGAAAGGGCCUAAGAAUAUAAUUUAAUUAUUUAAUUGGCAGAAAAAUGCAUUAGAAUUAGAAUCUAAAAAAACUUAU